This 433-nucleotide ribosomal RNA is filed under the name uncultured bacterium. Its description in RNAcentral is "partial 16S ribosomal RNA". It matches the Rfam family "Bacterial small subunit ribosomal RNA", at positions 29 to 507 of the family's 1533-position model. The record is from RNAcentral.
AACGAACGCUGGCGGCAUGCCUAACACAUGCAAGUCGAACGAGACCUUCGGGUCUAGUGGCGCACGGGUGCGUAACGCGUGGGAGCCUGCCUUUAGGUUCGGAAUAACUCAGAGAAAUUUGAGCUAAUACCGGAUGAUGUCUUCGGACCAAAGAUUUAUCGCCUUUAGAUGGGCCCGCGUUGGAUUAGCUAGUUGGUGGGGUAAAGGCCUGCCAAGGCGACGAUCCAUAGCUGGUCUGAGAGGAUGAUCAGCCACACUGGGACUGAGACACGGCCCAGACUCCUACGGGAGGCAGCAGUGGGGAAUAUUGGACAAUGGGCGAAAGCCUGAUCCAGCAAUGCCGCGUGAGUGAUGAAGGCCUUAGGGUUGUAAAGCUCUUUUACCCGAGAUGAUAAUGACAGUAUCGGGAGAAUAAGCUCCGGCUAACUCCGUG